CGGGUGAGUAAUGUAUGGGGAUCUGCCUGAUGGCGGGGGGUAACUACUGGAAACGGUAGCUAAUACCGCAUAAUGUCUACGGACCAAAGCGGGGGACCUCCGGGCCUCGCGCCAUCAGAUGAACCCAUAUGGGAUUAGCUAGUAGGUGAGGUAACGGCUUACCUAGGCGACGAUCCCUAGCUGGUCUGAGAGGAUGAUCAGCCACACUGGGACUGAGACACGGCCCAG
This 228-nucleotide ribosomal RNA is filed under the name uncultured bacterium. RNAcentral describes it as "partial 16S ribosomal RNA". It matches the Rfam family "Bacterial small subunit ribosomal RNA", at positions 103 to 334 of the family's 1533-position model. The record is from RNAcentral.